Molecule: ribosomal RNA, 334 nt
Filed under: Shigella sp. FC1967
Lineage: Bacteria; Pseudomonadati; Pseudomonadota; Gammaproteobacteria; Enterobacterales; Enterobacteriaceae
Description: bacterial SSU rRNA
Rfam family: Bacterial small subunit ribosomal RNA
Source: RNAcentral
UUUAAUUGAAGAGUUUGAUCAUGGCUCAGAUUGAACGCUGGCGGCAGGCCUAACACAUGCAAGUCGAGCGGUAACAGGAGAAAGCUUGCUUUCUUGCUGACGAGCGGCGGACGGGUGAGUAAUAUAUGGGGAUCUGCCCGAUAGAGGGGGAUAACUACUGGAAACGGUGGCUAAUACCGCAUGAUGUCUACGGACCAAAGCAGGGGCUCUUCGGACCUUGCGCUAUCGGAUGAACCCAUAUGGGAUUAGCUAGUAGGUGGGGUAAUGGCUCACCUAGGCGACGAUCUCUAGCUGGUCUGAGAGGAUGAUCAGCCACACUGGGACUGAGACACGG